AGGGACGCCACCACCACAGGAGAGACUGAGACCACCCAGCAGCUCCCUGGCCAGCCCAGAGCACUGCAAGGGAACAAGGAUGGCGGUUACAGAGGGAUGGACAAUGGGGACAGUGCCACAUCCUGUGCUCUGUGCUGGGUUCCGCUGUGGGGAGGUGCUUGUCCUAGGGCACAUCUCACAAGGCAAGCCACCCACAACUCGGGGGCCACACAUCUCGAAAGACAGAACAUCCGCCCGUCACGGAGCCUCACAAACUGGAGGGUUGGAAGGUAAAGUCACCAACCCACAAAAAAGAAAGGGAACCAGCCAGCACUAGCAGACUUGUAAGACCCCUGGAUGUAUCUCCCAAUUCAAGACUUCAAUAAAAGCACAGAACAGUUUGGAACCCAAGCCCGAGCUGGA
Molecule: non-coding RNA, 402 nt
Organism: Ictidomys tridecemlineatus (thirteen-lined ground squirrel)
Lineage: Eukaryota; Metazoa; Chordata; Mammalia; Rodentia; Sciuridae
Source: RefSeq, a predicted model, not a curated record